Non-coding RNA from Biomphalaria glabrata, 122 nucleotides. Lineage: Eukaryota; Metazoa; Mollusca; Gastropoda; Planorbidae. The record is from Rfam.
GUCAGGAUGGCCGAGUGGUCUAAGGCGCCAGACUCAAGGAUAGAUGAAUCCUUCCCAUGAAUCAUGGGAUUGAGUGUUCUGGUCCACGAAUGUGGGCGUGGGUUCAAAUCCCACUUCUGACA